RNAcentral lists this long non-coding RNA (7394 nucleotides) under Lactuca sativa (garden lettuce). RNAcentral describes it as "long non-coding RNA (LSAT_LNC010009)". Lineage: Eukaryota; Viridiplantae; Streptophyta; Magnoliopsida; Asterales; Asteraceae. The record is from RNAcentral.
UAUAUAAAGGACCUUAUGGCCUCCCAAUUGCGACCAUAUCUUCCUGAGAACAACCUUAAAGAGUCAUUGGUCAUGUAGAGUGAGAGGGAGAUCUAUCUUAAGCUUAUAAGUGUGAUUAUGUGUAACAACGCAAAUUUUCAAACAAAUUUUUCAUUUUAAAAAUAUAUUUAUUUCCAUUCAUAACAAGGCAUAAAUAGUUUAAGUAGUCAGUCAAAUACAAAUAAUCAAAAUCCCAAGAUCAUAAAAGCAUUCUUCAGUGUGUAUCGAUCACGCCGGUGCCUUCCCACGGUCCUCGCUAGUACCUGAAAUACAUGCACAUCAACUGUAAGCAUAAAUGCUUAGUGAGUUCCCCAAUAUACAACUUACGCACAUACGCCUUUCCAGGCCCCGACCUUCCGGUCCAUGUGUCUCAGGGGACUUCCGUCCCUGCUGGGUAAACCUUCCGAUCCUACCCACGCCGACCUUCCGGUCCAUCACACAACAUAUCGCCUUCCGGCCCAUAACAUAUUGCCUUCCGGCCCAUAAUAUAAUCGCCUUCCGGCCCAUAACAUACAUAGCACAUAUAACAAAUAACUUACCACAUAUAGCAUACAUAUCACAUAUCAUAUCCGACCUUCCGGUCACACAGUCAAACCCUUCCGGGUACAGUAUAGUGAGAAGACUCACCUCGUGAAUGCUGAAAGCUAGCAAAUCCUGAAAUCACUCGUGCACAAUCCGACGAGCUACAACCUCCCUAUAACAUCACAUAUCUCUCAUUAACACUUAUAUCUUCUAAGUGUGACUAUCCCUAAGAAGUCAGACUUAGGUCAACUCUGGUCAACGGUCAACGGUCAACUCGACCGGACUCGGCGAGUACCAUGGCGACUCGGCGAGUCUAGACGUCCUCCAACUCUCUGAGAUUCCCUAUCUACUCGUCGAGUAUCCUCCUUGACCCGACGAGUUACUCCUGGAAGAAUCGCGGGGCCACCCCGACUCAACUCGCCGAGUCUGAAGAACAACUCGACGAGUCCCAGUUAAUCUUCAAGCUACUCGCCGAGUCUGUUCAUCGAACUCGGCGAGUCCAUGCCAUGCAACCGCUCAAACUGCAUCCUAAGGUCAGAACUGCUUCGACCAUUCCUAGGUCUGGCCUUCCUAGGCUGAUCCAUCACGUAAAGUCCUCAUUUCAGUGCUCAUGAUACACCAUAUGAUUCAUAAUUUACAUUUUGACCUAAGGCAUAAGGAUUCCAAUCCAAAACCUUCAUCAAUUCCCGAAAUGCACAGACAUGGGACAUUCUGGACCUCCAAAGGUCCCAAUACAGGGUUACAAUCGAUUAGGGGACUAGGGUAACAUUCAAUCUAUUCACAAAAGGGUUCCAUAAACCCUAAUUCCAUAAUCACAUCAACAUAGCAGAGUAUACUCGAAUUCUUACCUGGAUGAUGUAUUCUCUGUGUCCCCAAUCCUCAGAAUGUGACUCCCUUGCUGUUCCUUUAGCCAAUCCCUUCUCUUCCUUGCACAACCACUCUUCUAUAAUCAACAAUGGCCUAUAAUCCUUGCUCCAGAUGCACACAAUCGAUUUAGGGUUCUUCUCAGAAGGCUAAAAUGAACAAUGACGGCCAAUAAGUCCCUUUUAUACGUCCCAAACCUGAACGGUUAGGGUUUUCGCUAAACAGCGUAGACUCGCCGAGUCCAUAUCUGGACUCGUCGAGUCCAGUCGCGAACCCGCGACCAAGUCUGCGAUCCUACUCGGCGAGUCUAGGCUCCAACUCGCCGAGUCCCCUCUUAAAUCACCCCAAAAACAUAAUUAAACAAUACCUGAGAUUUCGGGCUGUUACAACUCUCCCCCACUAGGAUUAGACUUCGCCCUCGAAGUCUCACUCUGCAAAUAGUUCCGGAUGCUGCUCCCGCAUCUCACGUUCCGGCUCCCAAGUCAUUUCCGAUCCCUUACGGUGUUGCCACUGAACCAACACCAGAGGUACCUCCUUGUUCCUCAGAACCUUGAUCUUCCGAUCCCUGAUGGCCACUGGUCUCUCAGCAUAAUUCAGGCUCGCAUCCACCUGAAUAUCCUCCAAUGGAACCACUGCCGACUCAUCGGCUAUGCACUUCCUCAAUUGCGACACAUGAAAAGUGUCGUGGAUCUGUCCCAACUCCGCUGGCAACUCCAACCGAUAGGCUACCCGGCCUAUCCUUGCAAUCACACGAAAUGGCCCAAUAUACCGGGGCCCCAACUUGCCCCUCUUCCUGAAUCGAAUCACUCCUUUCCAAGGAGAGACCUUCAGGAGAACGAAGUCGCCGACUUGAAACUCAAGCUCGGAUCGGCGCCUGUCUGCAUAACUCUUCUGUCGGCUCUGGGCGGUCAAUAACCUCUGUCUAACUUGCUGAAUCUGCUCUGUCGUCUGAAGCACGAUCUCUGUGCUGCCCAUCACUCUCUGUCCCACCUCUCCCCAGCAAAUGGGGGUCCGACACCUCCUACCAUACAACAGCUCAAAAGGUGGCAUACCAAUGCUCGAAUGAUGGCUGUUGUUGUAGGAAAACUCUGCCAAGGGUAAAUACGCAUCCCAACUACCCCCGAAGUCUAACACACACGCUCGGAGCAUGUCCUCCAGCGUCUGAAUCGUCCGCUCGCUCUGACCGUCUGUCUGGGGAUGGUAUGCGGUACUAAAAUGCAAUUUAGUACCCAGCUCCUCAUGGAAUUUCUUCCAGAACCUGGAAGUGAAGCGCACAUCACGGUCUGAAACAAUCGAGAUCGGCACCCCAUGCCGAGAUACCACUUCUCUCACAUAUAUCUCCGCCAACUUCUCCGCUGAAGAACUCUCGCUGAUGGCAAGGAAGUGUGCACUCUUCGUCAACCUAUCCACAAUCACCCAAAUUGCAUCAACUCCCCUGGCAGUCCUCGGCAAUUUGGUGAUGAAAUCCAUAGUGAUCUGUUCCCACUUCCACUCGGGAAUCUCCAAUGGCUGUAACUUGCCAUGCGGUCUCUGGUGCUCGGCCUUAACCCUACGGCAGGUCAAGCACCUCUCAACGAACCAUGCAACGUCCCUCUUCAUACAGGGCCACCAAUACUCUUUCCUCAAAUCCAAAUACAUCUUCGUAGCACCGGGAUGGAUCGAGAAUUUCGAUCUAUGAGCCUCUUCCAUCAAAGUAAUACGCGUACCGCCCACGAACGGUACCCAAAUCCGACCCUGAAACGUCAGAAGCCCUCGUCCAUCCUUAACGAACUCUGAAAUUAACCCAACGACCCGCUCUUUCUUCUGCAUCUCUGGUCGCACAGCCUCGGCCUGUGCCCCACGAAUAGCAUCCAAUACUGGAGUCAUCACAGUCAGUCUCAAGCAUACAUCUCGCAAUGGAGUGCUCUCCGCCCUGCGGCUCAACGCAUCGGCUACCACAUUAGCCUUGCCUGGGUGGUACAGGAUCUCACAAUCAUAAUCCUUGACCACAUCCAACCACCUCCUCUGACGCAUAUUUAGGUUGGGCUGAUCCAUCAAAUACUUCAAGCUCUUAUGGUCCGUGUAUAUCGUACAUCGAACCCCAUACAAGUAGUGACGCCAAAUCUUGAGAGCGAACACUACUGCCCCCAACUCUAAAUCAUGCGUGGGAUAUCUCGCCUCAUGAGGCUUCAGCUGCCUCGACGCAUAAGCUAUCACAUGACCCCUCUGCAUCAACACUGCACCCAGUCCCGAAAUCGAUGCGUCGCAAUAUACUACAAAAUCUUCCAUCCCUUCCGGGAGAGCUAAUACCGGGGCUUCGCACAACCUCUGGCGAAGUGUCUCAAAGGAGGUCUGCUGCUCGGGCCCCCAUGAGAAUGCAACACCCUUCCGGGUCAAUCUGGUGAGCGGCACUGCGAUCUUGGAGAAAUCCUUAAUGAAUCUCCGAUAAUACCCUGCCAACCCAAGGAAGCUCCUGAUCUCAGAGGGUGACUUCGGCACCUCCCAACUCAUCACCGCCUCAACCUUGGCCGGAUCGACCAAUAUCCCUUUCUGAUUAACAACAUGUCCUAGAAAUUGGACCUCCCGCAACCAGAAGUCACAUUUGGAGAACUUUGCAUAAAGCUUCUCCGACCUCAAUACCUCAAGGACCUCCCUCAAAUGCUCCUCAUGCUGCUCUCUAGAUCUCGAAUACACCAGAAUGUCGUCGAUAAAUACAAUCACUGACCGAUCCAACAUCGGCCUGCAUACCCUGUUCAUGAGAUCCAUGAACACAGCCGGGGCAUUGGUGAGCCCGAAAGGCAUCACCACAAACUCAUAAUGCCCAUAUCGCGUCCUAAACGCUGUCUUCUGGACAUCCUCAUCCCGUACUCUCACCUGAUGGUACCCUGACCUCAGAUCGAUCUUGGAAAACCAAGACGCUCCCUGCAACUGAUCGAAUAAAUCAUCGAUCCUCGGUAACGGGUAACGGUUCUUGACCGUCAACUUGUUCAACUCCCGGUAAUCAAUGCACAUCCGGUGUGAACCAUCCUUCUUCUUGACGAACAGAAUAGGUGCUCCCCACGGCGAGCUGCUCGGCCGAAUGAAUCCCUUCCCCAGCAACUCCUGGAGCUGCGAGGACAACUCUUGCAUCUCUGGAGGUGCAAGACGAUAAGGCACCUUAGCAAUAGGCGCGGCCCCCGGAACCAGAUCGAUACCAAACUCUACUUGCCUCACAGGAGGUACUCCCGGCAGCUCCUCGGGGAAAACAUCUGGAAACUCACGCACCACAGGGACCUCCUCAACUGACUUCGGUCUCUCGGAAACCUCCCGCGUAUCCAUCACAUACGCCACAAAACCCUUACAGCCCUGCUGUAGACACUGCCUCGCCCUAGCGGCCGAACAAAAAGCUGAUCCCGAACGGGUACCCUCGCCGUACACCGAAAGAACUCCCCCACUAGGGUCUCGUAUAGUCACCAACUGACGCUCACAGUCGAUGACAGCGCCGAAUCGGCUCAACCAGUCCAUGCCCACGAUGACACAGACAUCACCCAUCGCAAUAGGAAUCAGGUCAAUCGGGAAUUCAACCCCGAAAAUCUCUAGUACACAUCCCCGAAGAACCUCCGUGGCACAAAUCACUUUCUCGUCAGCUAUAGAAACUCUCAAAGGUCGACUCAACGACUCACGACUAACGCUGAUAUGCUGACUAAAGGCUAAGGACACAAAGGACCUACUCGCACCCGAGUCAAAUAACACUAAGGCAGGCACAGAGUUCACAAGGAAAGUACCUACGCAUAUAAUAACAUAAGCAUAACAUCUCGACAUUAAAAUAAAUACAUGAAUUACAACAUACCUGCCACAACAUCGGGCGCAGCGCGGACCUCCUCCGCAGUCAGCUGAAAGGCUCUUCCCCGAGCCCUCGGGGCCUCGGCCUUCACCGGUCGAGUCGCAGUAGCUCCGGCAGCAGGUGCAGAUCCCUGAAGAAGCUGAGGGCACUCGGCCUUCCUAUGGCCUGUCUGGUUGCAAUGAAAGCAAACCGUAAAUCCCUUGGGACACUCCCUAGCAAUGUGCCCCUCCUUGCCACACUUGUAGCAAGCACCAGAUCGACAUACUCCAUCAUGACUCUUGCCGCACUUCCCGCAAGUGCGACCCUUCGAACCUCCUGUCCUCGAAUCAGCGGACUUGGUCCGCUUGGCUGCCGGCUGGGACUGAGCCGGUCGCCGGUCCACCCGCUGAGACUCGGCCUCCUCCCUGGCCUGGGUCUCCAACUCGAUCUCGCGCUUCCUGGCAUUCGCCUGAAGCUCAGCAAAAGUAUGGUAAGUGGAGUUUGACACAAACUCCCGGAUAUCCCUCCUCAACACUCCCAAGUACCGGCUCAUCCGAGCCUGAUCAGUGGACACCAGCUCGGGGCAGAACAUCGCCCUCUCAUGAAACUUCCGCGUGAUCACCGCAACAGAAUCAGUACCCUGCUUGAGGGUUAAGAACUCCUGAACCAAUCGUUCCCUCUCCACCGGGGGAACGUACUCGUCCCUGAACAUAGCAGUAAACCCCUCCCAUGUCACUGCUGUAGUCUCUGCCAAAGUGAAGUUCGCCGUCACGAACUUCCACCAGUCCUUCGCUCCCAGACGGAGCUGGUUCAAAGCGAACCGUACCCUCAGGUGCUCCGGGCAUGAACAAGUGUAGAAGCACCCCUCUAUAUCCGCGAUCCACCUCAUCGCAGCAAUCGGAUCCUGCGUCCCAUCGAACUCUGGUGGCUUCGUGUUGCUGAACUCUCGGAACAGCAACGAGUCACCCCCCUGUGGCCUAGCAGCGGCCACAGCUGCGGUAGCUGCAGCGGUUGCAGCCUCAGUCAAUGCGGCGUACCGCUCAUCAAACGUCUCCAUCAGGGUGGUCUUAAUAGACCCAAACAUCUCCGGGAUCUCAGCCCGGAUCGCCGCAGCUACCUCCUCGUGAAUCAUCUGACGAAUCUCCUCGUCACUCACACCGCUCGAACUCGCUCCGUGGCGUGGUCUAACCAUGAUGUCUCUGAAAUACAACAUAAAACUAUCAGAGACUCCAUCGAGUAUAAUCGCACUCGAUAACGCAACCCUACUCAGUCUCCGAUAUCCAGGGAUUCUUACUUGGGUCUCCCACUGACCCGGUGUCUUCGGUAGUACGGGCCCAAUACUACCGACCACACCGCAUCAGCAUUCAUCCCAAGUCUUCCUCCCCAAACCCCGGAUAGUGAGUACUCUACUUCUGUUAUGCACUAUCUACCCGCACACUAGCAAAGCAUCUCAUAUCGGCAAACUUCCCUAGACUAAGGCAUCACAAAUCAGGCCACUCUAGUCCUAUCAUGAAUACCUAGUCUUCUAGCAUGCAUAACAAUUUAUAUCAUAUAAUAUUGUAAGGUAUUUUGGGGAUCUUUACCGUUCGGGCGCUGACUGAUCGUACACACUGCUUCUUUCUUGCUUACCACAAAACCAUUUACAAAAGUUUAUGCCUUUAUUUAAAAAGUUUUCCUCAAAUCCUCGGUUUGAGUUCAGUUACUCCCGAAGGUGCACCCGAAUCCCUCAAACCAAGGCUCUGAUACCAAUUGUAACAACGCAAAUUUUCAAACAAAUUUUUCAUUUUAAAAAUAGAGUAUUUUCAUUCAAAACAAGGCAUAAAUAAUUUAAGUGUCAUGUCAAAUACAAACUGUCUAAAUCCCAAGAUCAUAAAAACAUUCUUCAGUGUGUAUCGAUCACGCCGGCGCCUUCCCACGGUCCUCGCUAGUACCUGAAACACAUACAUAACAACUGUAAGCAUAAAUGCUUAGUGAGUUCCCCAAUAUACAACUUACGCACAUACGCCUUUCCAGGCCCUGACCUUCCGGUCCUCAACACAACGCCUUCCGGCCCAUAACAUAAUCGCCUUCCGGCCCAUAACAUAUUGCCUUCCGGCCCACAUAACAUACAUAGCACAUAUAACAAAUAACUUACCACAUAUAGCAUACAUAUCACAUAUCAUAUCUGACCUUCCGGUCACACAGUCAA